This 220-nucleotide ribosomal RNA is filed under the name uncultured bacterium. RNAcentral describes it as "partial 16S ribosomal RNA". It matches the Rfam family "Bacterial small subunit ribosomal RNA", at positions 370 to 607 of the family's 1533-position model. The record is from RNAcentral.
AAUGGACGCAAGYUGAGGCAGCAACGCCGCGUGGAGGAUGAAGGUUUUCGGACUGUAAACUCCUUUUGUCGGGGAAGAGCGAGGACGGUACCCGGCGAACAAGUCACGGCUAACUACGUGCCAGCAGCCGCGGUAAUACGUAGGUGGCAAGCGUUAUCCGGAAUUACUGGGCGUAAAGCGCUCGCAGGCGGCGCGGCAGGUCGGUUGUGAAAUCUCCUGG